AGCUCACCGCGUCGCGGGGAUUCGAACCACCAAACUUCUGAUCGGCAAGUCCUAGGCUCUGUAGUUUAACCCACAGUGCCACCCGCGUCCCUGCAAUUAUGCUAAACAACCAUUAAUGAGAAACACAAGACUUGGAAGAUGUGGGAACUGAGCUGGGCCCAACAAUCCCUUCGGCAAAACUGUCACCUUCCAUGAAUAUGUCAGUCCUUUAGGGUGCAAGAACCAGCCUUCAGAGACUGAGAAGCGGGUCGCCAGAGGCAUUUUGAAAAGGACAUGAUGGACUUCUUCUGCACACCCUAAUUUGACAAACCCGUAAGCUUGUUGCAGGCGUGGAGGAGUGGAUGGGUGAGGACCCCUAAGCUACAUUUAAACCCUGUCGAGACGGAGGCCUUGUGGGCGAGUGGCUGCUGCAUCCAAGAAACAGGAGAGUUACCUGCUCUGGAUGGGGCUUCACUCCCUUCUGAAUGAACAAGAAUGGAGUCCUGCCAUGCUCCUGGAUCCCUCUUUGUCACUGGAGCCACAGGUAGCCUCGGUUGCUAGGAGUGCCUUUUACCAGCUUCAUCUGGUGCUGCUUCCAGUUUAGCAGUCGUGUUGAAUCGGGAACUCCUGUGCAGCCAUGCCUUUAAUGGAAAGUUACAUGUUGCAAAGGACGCCAGAUCAUCAUAAAUCAAA
This is a long non-coding RNA of Podarcis muralis (Common wall lizard), 672 nucleotides long. RefSeq lists it as uncharacterized. The record is from RefSeq and is a predicted model, not a curated record. Lineage: Eukaryota; Metazoa; Chordata; Lepidosauria; Squamata; Lacertidae.